AGACACGACACUAUCACUCUCAGUGUGCUGGGUACUCUGCUUUGGGUGUGUAGCUGUGUUCUUGUGGCAAGGAUUUGAACGGAUCUGAUCGGAAGACCCCUGUUUUCCUUCCAGCCUCUGCAAGUUGCAGACCUAGUGCACAGGUUUUGAAGGCUCAUCUGUGAAGCUGGGUAUGCUUGGAAACACACUAGAAAGGCAGUUAUGCAGGCAGCCUAAGAUGGAGUCAUCUGCUUUCUGCUGGGCCAGAAGGGUGAGGCCUCCUUUGCUUCAUUUUUCUUCUCCCCUUGGCUCAAGGAAGGAUGGCUUGGGUUUUGCAGAGCCAAGAGGAGUACUUUUGCCAGCCUUCAGGCUGGUUAGCCCCAUUCAGAUGCAUCAAACUCACAGAACAUCUCUCCCCAGCUGCAGGCUUAUGGAAUAGGAAAACUACUCAUUUUCCUUCGAGAGAGAGGCAUCCAAAGCAGAUAUUUCAAUAUAUUCCAAUUUAGCCGAGGGAAGCCAGAACAUGGAUGCUGUUGCCAAGGAAACCACCUCCUUCCUCCCAGUGUGCUGUGCAUACGUGUAUCACUCCAUCUCUUGGCUCUCCAAGUUUCUCAGAGCAGCCAGGUGAGCAAGACAACAAGGAAGAGUCCAGCAGCUGCUGACCAGAAGUCAAGCUGACCCUGCUUCCAAAGAUGCUUGUUUGAAGGAUAAUGAACACCAGGAGUGCUUAAGAAUAUACACUUUAAAGACCCUGUUAU
Long non-coding RNA from Rattus rattus (black rat), 737 nucleotides. RefSeq lists it as uncharacterized. The record is from RefSeq and is a predicted model, not a curated record. The transcript is spliced from 2 exons. Lineage: Eukaryota; Metazoa; Chordata; Mammalia; Rodentia; Muridae.